CAGGAUUUGUACUGGGCACUCUCAAGAAACAGUUAAGAUACAACUUGACAUGAAACUGCUCAACCUGGUACUUCCCACUAGCUGUCACCACGGAAGUCACCACCUGCCCCCCUUUCCCUUGCAAGGGUUACUAACAGUGAUCCCAUCUGGUCACCACAAAGUCAGUAGGAAACUCAGGCUGAAGACACACUGAAAACCUAGCACCACACAAGAGCUCAUCGCAGCAACCUUAGUUUUACUUCCUUCUGGAAAAAGAUGAACAGCACUUUCUUCUCCUUUCACUGACAUUCAGUUGAAAAGGAUCCCAGGUACACUCUAUGACUGGAGGUAGUGGCGCUUAUUGAAACUGGAACCUUCAUAGUGAUUAGUACGUUUGCUCAAACCUGUAAGACUGAAGUGUGAUAAGUGUCUUGGCUUGAGUACUAACCGGAAGGAAAACAUCUACCUGUUACAAAUGUAGGAGCCUGCUGCACCUGCAGCUGUUGCCUGAAUGUUUUGGGUGCUAUUCACA
Molecule: long non-coding RNA, 511 nt
Filed under: Homo sapiens (human)
Lineage: Eukaryota; Metazoa; Chordata; Mammalia; Primates; Hominidae
Description: non-protein coding lnc-EIF2B1-4:1
Source: RNAcentral